Girardinichthys multiradiatus is the source of this 2296-nucleotide long non-coding RNA. RefSeq lists it as uncharacterized. NCBI's taxonomy places the organism in Eukaryota, Metazoa, Chordata, Actinopteri, Cyprinodontiformes, Goodeidae. The record is from RefSeq and is a predicted model, not a curated record. The transcript has 10 exons.
CCCGGACUUGUCGGCCAUGUUGAAGGCAAGCCUCAACUCAGAGCAGAAUUUUUGUGACUACAUAGCGAAAAUUAUAAGUGUUUGACUAAAAUAGCAGCACACAAGGGGAGAUCAUCCACCACUGUUCAGCCACUAAAGGCAGCCUGUGAAGGCUUCCCACCUGACCUCCUGCACGACCUGUUUGAAGGUGUUGUUCCAGUGGAGUUGGCGCAUUGCUUAAAAGUGUCUGACUAAAGAAGCAGAACAGAAACAUCAGCAGAUCUUCCCAGCCCUUAAGCCAAUGUAUAGAAACUUCAGAUUCAGAUGGUUGCAACAGGGAUACUGAAGCUAAGGGUCAUCCUUGAUAAUGAUAAUGCUGAAAGACUUAUUUUGCCAUCUCGUCCAUCCAGUGUCCAAGCCCUCAUAGAUGAGAUCAAAUCUAGGCUAAAGUUGACUUUUGACUUUCGGCUUCAGUUUCACGACCCAGAUUCUGAUUAUGCAUUGUGUAAUUUGGUUGUAAUAGAAGACUUGCCAGGCACAGCAUCUGUUAAAGUUGUCAGAUUAGUUGAGCUGGACCAGAUUUCAACCAGUACUGAUGACACUCAUUCUGACUGAUAGCACUGAUACCACAGAUAUUAGUCGGUGUUCCGAUAUUUUCUUAUGAGGAAGAACAUGUGCUAAGGGAAGGUAAUGCAGCAUUUGAAAAGGAUGGGAAAGUAAUUACACUAACUAGAGAUCAAAAACACAACAUACUCGAGACAAUGGGGGAAGAAAUCUAUAGACUAAAGGCAUAUCCUAGUAGCACACAAAUUGGCAAGGCUGCAGAAGCUUUAGUUAGAAAGCAUCCCUGUCUGAAGGAGAGAAAUUUUGACACUGGGUGGGACGGAUGGAAGAAUAGUCUGAGACAUAAAGUAGGAAACCAAAGAAAGAAGUUGGCUAAAGCUGGCAUCAAGGAUGUUGCUAUAAAUGCUGGAAAGCGCAGCAGAACAAACCCACAAGGAGCUGCACCAAGGGCGAAUAUCAAAAGACCUAGGAGAGGUGAGGUCAACUUCCUUCCCAGUUAUCCUUCUGGAGAAACAAGGGAGUCUCUGGAGACCAGGAGGCUUGUGAUGGUAGAGCAGUACAAGAGGACCUCUGCAGAAAGAGAUGUCCCUCUUAUUCAUCAGCAUAUGAUGUGCACCUUUGCCCUCCGACGUGAAGAGAUCAUCACAACUUCUCCUGCUGUAUCAGAGCUUAAGGACAGAUGGCCAGCACUCUUUUAUGAGACACAGCUCUACUGUGAAUUUCACCAAUCAGCAUCUACCACAUGUGUUUUAUGCUGCACUGGAUGAAUAUGCUCCUCAGCUGAUUGGACUUUACAAAAAGAAGAAAACUGGACUGGUUGGUGAAAAGAUGGAGCAGCUUUUGCUGGCAUAUCAGCAACAGGACAAAAAUGACAUCUAUGCAACAAGAACAGCAGCCCUGGCUGGCCUACCCAUUUACCUUAAGGAGGAUUCUUCAGACAUUUUCAAAACAUGCAAGGAUGAAAUGGAGUUCUAUGAAGGUGCAGUUGCUCUGGUUGCUGAUGUGGAUGAAGAGGAGGUGCCUGCAGGAGUUCCUUUCUCACCACGCCAAGUGUUCAUCGUGCUUGAGGAUCAGGUUGUAAUGACUCAUCCCUUAUGGACUGAUGCACUGGUAUGUCUGUUUGGACUAAUCUAUGCUCUGCAUCUGAGCUAUCCUGAGAAGUGCAGUGGCUUUUUUGAGUUCAUUCAAGUAGUGUUGCUGAAGCUAGAUGACGGGAGAAAGCAACUGAAACCAAAAUUGCACACACUGAAAAAUGAGCUGGUGUAGAAUUUGUUGUCCACAGGUCAAUACAUUCAUGCUUGUCCAGGAAUCUGUCACAGUCUGUUGUUCAACCUGCCUGUUACUAAUGUUCUCUCACCCUAAGAGGCGCUGGAGCUGCAGACCGGAGUGUAGACAGGUGUACGUCGUUGCUUCAUCAGCUGGAGGACUAUAUGAGGGUGGUUCGCUGGCUUUUCUACGCCUGAGUGUUUGCCUACCGUGGCUGUUCACGCCAAGCUGGGGUUUCUUCCUGAACCCACCUCCUGUCAAGACUGGAAUCUGCUGCUGCCCUUGCGAGUCCUCCAGCUGGAAGCGCAACCUGUCCACCACUUUGUUACCUGGAACAUCAGAUCGCUCCAAUCGUUUCCGUGCAGGCACUACCACAGACUUGAACCGGUUUCUCCCCCUGGCGGAUCGAUCGCCUUCCGGAAAUCUGUCUCCUGAUCGCUCUGCCCACCUCGUUCCUGAGUCGAAAAGAAAUAAAAGAAAAACUUAA